GCGGUCAUGCUGGAAUUGGUAGACAGGCACGGUUGAGGGCCGUGUGGGCUUCCCCGUGAGAGUUCGAGUCUCUCUGACCGCACCA
Molecule: transfer RNA, 85 nt
Filed under: Pelagibacteraceae bacterium TMED136
Lineage: Bacteria; Pseudomonadati; Pseudomonadota; Alphaproteobacteria; Candidatus Pelagibacterales; Candidatus Pelagibacteraceae
Description: tRNA-Leu
Source: RNAcentral